CUUCCUCCCUCCCCAGUCCCCCGCCGCCUCCCUCCCUCCACGCCGAUCGGAUCAGGGCGCGGCGACAGCCCGUUCCCUCAUGCGGCGCGCCAUGCCAUGCGCGAAGGCCAGCGCACCCGACACCCGGAGGAGGACGGGGCAGGACGGAUCCGAUGCGGCGGUGAGAGGUGGCAUUGGGUGGCGCGAAGGAGGCUUCUCGCCACCAGCCCUGCGCGAGCUCGAGCCCUGACAAUCUCUCCCUUUCAAUCCAGUUGUUUGGCAGCUAUAUGGAGUCUGAUCCAGUGAAAAUUGCUGUUGAGGGUUUGGAGAUGUACUGGAAAGAGAAUUGUGACCUCAUCUUUGCAGGUACAAGUGGAAGUCACAAGCAAGAAGCAGCACUCUUCUGAAGAAAUGCGGCAAGUUUCAGAAGCAACAUAGGUAUUAACCAGGCUGCAUUUGAGCAGGCACAACUGCACAAGCCUUUAAACAAAGUAUUUCUGUUGGUGUUGUGAUUGGUACAAAAAUGGAUGGUCACUCUAAAGCAGGUGGUACUCUUAGCGUGCAUGGAAUAUGUGUCAGGCUUUAUGGACAAGAUUCAUGAAUGAAGCUCCUGCAGAAACUGAGCUAUUGCCUACCUAUCUAUAGCCUGAGCUUCUGCAGACUGUCUGAAUGAAGCUUUAUUCUCAAGCUUACGUUACCUCUUCUCUAUGUUGUCUGGCUGGCUGGCCUGUCAAGGAUGUCAUUGACAUGCUAGAAGAGUAUGAGCGGCUAGAUUAAAUCAGGGUAAGAUGAAAGGUCUCAAGAUUCUGUCCCACAACAUGAAUAUCCAGCAUAUGAGCAAGGUCCUCUCGCCAAAUUUGCUCUCUCAUAUGAAACAGAUGCGAUCAAAAGAGAUGAGUUGAAUGUUUGGAGACAUGGGCCCGCGAGCCGUAAUUUUACAUGUUCAAGUCUUGUUUUAGGUGCAUCCUCCAUGUGACUCUGGUGAAAGGGCUUUUGAGAAGGUUUGUUAGCAGCGCUCUAAGCUGGUUCGUUGGAGUGUUGGAAGCUAGCAGAGCACACCUAUUUGUUCGGAGUCAGGGACAACUGUACCUCCUCAUUACGGCUCUGAUGGAUGAUGUUGUGAUGCAAUGAACCUGCACAUUUCAUCUAGAACUUGCUCCGCCGGCCAAUUGGUGAGCAGCUAGGUUUGAGGGUAGAUUGUUAUGUUUGAGGGUAAUUUCAUUUUUUGUUAAUUCACUGCAGCCUGUAGGCCUGCCAGUUCGGUGCAAUCUUCGUUGCAAUGGUGAACACCUCCUGAACAAUGGGCUCUAAUCUAUUCUCUUCUUUCAAUGUAUUUGCACAUUUUCACACUGUUAGAUUCAAGAGGUCUAGCCCAGCUGUGGGCACAAUAAAACAUCAAAUGCCGCCCCUUGUAUGCUUCAGUUAUCAUCCAAGUGAAUUGUAGUCUGUCUUCAUCACUGUAAGAUACCACUAUCCCAUAGCUGCCAGAAUUCACUAAAAGGGUGCCUGCUAUGUACAUUUUAUUCAACCAAAAGAAGCCAUUAACUGUAGAACAGCUAAAAUAAAAUUAUAAUGCACUUGUAUUUCUUACGGAUGGACAGUUGGAUUCACUCUCUUGCAAUUUUUUUCAUAGUCAUUUACCUUUUUAGAGGCUUAUGAUUUUGAAGAUUUUUAAUCUAUGGUUGAAGAAAUUGCCAAGCAAGCACUACAGCCAAAUUGACGUUGGUGAGUCCUGUUUCCCACUAUUUUCUUUGUUUUCUAUAUAUUAGUUGCAGAUGUCAAGAUUAGAGUUUAGGAUGCAUUGUGAUAUGUGUGCUAGGUUGGUCUAGCUAACUGACAAUUACUCCAUUGAUCACCGGAUGGAUACUUCACUUUCCUAAGUUCAUAUUGCUAGCACUCACAUUAUGAGACGAUUUCUUACACGACACCCAAGAUGGAUCAAGUAGUAAGAAUAUAAGAAAAUGAAGCAGUGGCUGGCUAGCUAGCCUGACUCCUAUGAGUUCCUGAUUUUGGCACGCCAUGUGCUGUGUGAUGGCAGAAAAUUCCAAAUGUCUUGUGCAGGCAUGACUUAGGACUCACAGAAGUCAAAGGUAACAAGGUGUGAGGUGCAGCAUUUAAAAGAAUUAUGAUGUGCAAAUCUCUGCCACUUGAAAAGAACGUACAUGUGGUGGCAAUUGGCUCAUUCCAUGGUUGAUUUUAGUCGAUUUAACAUGGUAUUUGAUACAGCUAGGGGGGCAUUGUUAUCCAUAUGAAAAAAUGCCAUUUUUCUCCAUACUCGUAUCCUCUCAAAUUAGAAUGAACCUAUAUUUUUCUAGGGCUGCAAGAAAAACCAAUAUUUUAGUGUAUGCUUCCUUUGUGCUUAUAGUAUCUUCUAUACAUUGGCAAAUCACAACAGGCAAGCGAGAGAAUUGCAUUGCCCUUUUUUCGUAUUUGUCCUGCUCAUAAAUGUCCUCUAACUAUUGGUUUCCCUGGAUUGUUUAAGAUCUUGAAGGAAGCUAUGGUCAUACAAUUGCAUAUCUUCAAGUGAGGUUUGUUGUCUAGCUAUCUAUUUUUCUUAUUGUGUUUUCUAAAUUUCUGGAAGUUAACUUUAGAUAUUCAACUCCUCUGUAGAUUUUGAGUAAGGAAUUUAUUGCUUACUAUAUGAUCAUUGAUUUGCUGAUGUACACUUGUUUUUCCCAAUGAGAUGUUAUAUUGGUAAUCAGUUAAAAAGCUCCGGUCUUGAUCUCAGGUUCUUUUCAAAAGCUCCUGUCUUUUAGUUGUGGUACUGAAUAGUACAAUGCAACAUCUGCAGGUGUUUUUAUAUACUGUAGAGCCUUCAAAUUUAGCAGCUACGCAGAUAGUUUGGAGCGUGACCACAGCGUCGCUGAUCUCCGAUCCGUUGUGGCUCUGAGCGCAGUGAUUCCCUCUGCGGCUCCAAGCGCGGCGACUCCAAGACCACCUCAUGCUUGCAACACUGACGUCCUGCUAUGCGUCAUAAGCACAGUUUCUUAAUUAGUGAUUCUAAUCAAGUCGCAUAUCCAGUUAUCACUAUCAGCAAGGACUUUGUUGGUAAAUGCCUGCGAAGAAGGAAAAUCAGAAAUGACUGAAGCUUUUUUAAUGUCAAAGUUGUACUUUAACGAUAAAGAAGUAGCUGCAAAGGAAUUUCUAUCGGUGUGCCUCUUCAUCUGCAUCUUCUAGAACUUCAUUUUUUGAUUCACCAGAAAUAAAUACAUAGUGCCGCUUGGUUCUUCCUUACUUUGAUUGUAGUAUUACCGUAUACUUCAGUACUUGAUGAGCAUAUACUUGGUUCUUCGUUAAUCUGCAUCUUUAGAACUU
Setaria italica (foxtail millet) is the source of this 3294-nucleotide long non-coding RNA. RefSeq lists it as uncharacterized. Lineage: Eukaryota; Viridiplantae; Streptophyta; Magnoliopsida; Poales; Poaceae. The transcript is spliced from 9 exons. The record is from RefSeq and is a predicted model, not a curated record.